This 74-nucleotide transfer RNA is filed under the name Caudoviricetes sp. RNAcentral describes it as "tRNA-Arg". It matches the Rfam family "tRNA". From Rfam's summary of the family: Transfer RNA (tRNA) molecules are approximately 80 nucleotides in length. Their secondary structure includes four short double-helical elements and three loops (D, anti-codon, and T loops). Further hydrogen bonds mediate the characteristic L-shaped molecular structure. tRNAs have two regions of fundamental functional importance: the anti-codon, which is responsible for specific mRNA codon recognition, and the 3' end, to which the tRNAs corresponding amino acid is attached (by aminoacyl-tRNA synthetases). tRNAs cope with the degeneracy of the genetic code in two manners: having more than one tRNA (with a specific anti-codon) for a particular amino acid; and 'wobble' base-pairing, i.e. permitting non-standard base-pairing at the 3rd anti-codon position. Lineage: Duplodnaviria; Heunggongvirae; Uroviricota; Caudoviricetes. The record is from RNAcentral.
GCCCCGCUAGCUCAAGCGGAUAGAGCAGCCGAAUCCUAGUCGGCAGGUUCCAGGUUCGAAUCCUGGGCGGGGCA